This 468-nucleotide ribosomal RNA is filed under the name uncultured bacterium. RNAcentral's name for it is "partial 16S ribosomal RNA". It matches the Rfam family "Bacterial small subunit ribosomal RNA", at positions 28 to 507 of the family's 1533-position model. The record is from RNAcentral.
GACGAACGCUGGCGGCGUGCUUAACACAUGCAAGUCGAACGGAAAGGCCCUGCUUUUGUGGGGUGCUCGAGUGGCGACCGGGUGAUUAACACGUUAGUAACCUGCCCUUGACUUUGGGUUAACUUCAGGAAACUGGGGCUAAUACCGGAUAGGAGCUCCUGCUGCAUGGUUGGGGUUGGAAAGUUUCGGCGGUUGGGGAUGGACUCGCGGCUUAUCAGCUUGUUGGUGGGGUAGUGGCUUACCAAGGCUUUGACGGGUAGCAGGCCUGAGAGGGUGACCGGCCACAUUGGGACUGGGAUACGGCCCAGACUCGUACGGGAGGCAGGAGUGGGGAAGAUUGCACAAUGGGCGGAAGCCUGAUGCAGCAACGCCGCGUGCGGGAUGACGGCCUUCGGGUUGUAAACCGCUUUCGCCUGUGACGAAGCGUGAGUGACGGUAAUGGGUAAAGAAGCACCGGCUAACUACGUG